GGUUAAAAAGCUCGUAGUUGGAUUUCUGUCGAAGACGGCCGGUCCGCUCUUUGAGCGUGUAUCUGGUUCGGCUUUGGCAUCCUCGUGGGGUACGUAACUGUGCUUGAUUGCAUGGUGCGGAAUUCACGACUUUUACUUUGAGGAAAUUAGAGUGUUCACGGCAGGCAUGAGCCUUGAAUACAUUAGCAUGGAAUAAUAAUAUAGGACUUUGGUUUUAUUUUGUUGGUUUCUAGAACUAAAGUAAUGAUUAAUAGGGGUAAUUGGGGGCAUUUGUAUUACGCGUCAGAGGUGGAAUUCUUGGAUUGCGUUACGACAAACUACUGCGAAAGCAUUUGCCAAGGAUGUUUUCAUUGAUCAAGAACGAAAGUAUGGGGAUCGAAGAUGAUUAGAUACCGUCGUAGUCUAUACCAUAAACUAUGCCGACUAGAGAUUGGAGGUCGUUCUUUCUGUGACUCCUUCAGCACCUUAUGAGAAAUCAAAGUCUUUGGGUUCCGGGGGGAGUAUGGUCGCAAGGCUGAAACUUAAAGGAAUUGACGGAAGGGCACCACCAGGAGUGGAGCCUGCGGCUUAAUUUGACUCAACACGGGAAAACUCACCAGGUCCAGACAUAGUAAGGAUUGACAGAUUGAUAGCUCU
RNAcentral lists this ribosomal RNA (636 nucleotides) under uncultured marine eukaryote. RNAcentral describes it as "SSU rRNA". It matches the Rfam family "Eukaryotic small subunit ribosomal RNA", at positions 617 to 1258 of the family's 1831-position model. The record is from RNAcentral.